Molecule: ribosomal RNA, 664 nt
Filed under: Ascaridia galli
Lineage: Eukaryota; Metazoa; Nematoda; Chromadorea; Rhabditida; Ascaridiidae
Description: SSU rRNA
Rfam family: Eukaryotic small subunit ribosomal RNA
Source: RNAcentral
UACCCACUCUCAGCAUGAGGAGGUAGUGACGAAAAAUAACAAGACCGUUCUCUAUGAGGCCGGUUAUUGGAAUGAGUACAAUUUAAAUCCCUUAACGAGGAUCUAUGAGAGGGCAAGUCUGGUGCCAGCAGCCGCGGUAAUUCCACCUCUCAAAGUGUAUAUCGUCAUUGCUGCGGUUAAAAAGCUCGUAGUUUGAUAUGCGCUACAGGAUUCGGUCCGCCCAUUGGGCGUGAACUGAACUCCUGGCCUAGUAUUGUUGGUGUUCCUUACGUUACCUUAAUCGGUUGCGUAAGGUGACUAACGAGUUUACUUUGAAAAAAUUAGAGUGCUUAACGCGGGCUUAUGCCUGAAUAUUCGUGCAUGGAAUAAUGGAAUAGGAUCUCGGUGCUAUUUUGUUGGUUUUCUGAUCUGAGAUAAUGGUUAAGAGGGACAGACGGGGGCAUUCGUAUCGCUUCGUGAGAGGUGAAAUUCUUGGACCGUAGCGAGACGCCCGACUGCGAAAGCAUUUGCCAAGAAUGUCUUCAUUAAUCAAGAACGAAAGUCAGAGGUUCGAAGGCGAUCAGAUACCGCCCUAGUUCUGACCGUAAACGAUACCAACUAGCGUUCCGUCAUCGGUAAAUAUGCCUUGACGGGCAGCUUCCCGGAAACGAAAGUGUUUCGGUUC